Molecule: transfer RNA, 59 nt
Filed under: Campylobacter coli
Lineage: Bacteria; Pseudomonadati; Campylobacterota; Epsilonproteobacteria; Campylobacterales; Campylobacteraceae
Also listed under: 5 other names
Rfam family: tRNA
About the family: Transfer RNA (tRNA) molecules are approximately 80 nucleotides in length. Their secondary structure includes four short double-helical elements and three loops (D, anti-codon, and T loops).
Source: RNAcentral
UCCAACGGUAGAGCGCCGGAUUCCAAAUCCGAUGGUUGGGGGUUCGAAUCCCUCUUGCC